AGUGAACGCUGGCGGUAGGCCUAACACAUGCAAGUCGAACGGCAGCACAGUAAGAGCUUGCUCUUACGGGUGGCGAGUGGCGGACGGGUGAGGAAUACAUCGGAAUCUACUUUUUCGUGGGGGAUAACGUAGGGAAACUUACGCUAAUACCGCAUACGACCUACGGGUGAAAGCAGGGGAUCUUCGGACCUUGCGCGAUUGAAUGAGCCGAUGUCGGAUUAGCUAGUUGGCGGGGUAAAGGCCCACCAAGGCGACGAUCCGUAGCUGGUCUGAGAGGAUGAUUAGCCACACUGGAACUGAGACACGGUCCAGACUCCUACGGGAGGCAGCAGUGGGGAAUAUUGGACAAAGGGCGCAAGCCUGAUCCAGCCAUACCGCGUGGGUGAAGAAGGCCUUCGGGUUGUAAAGCCCUUUUGUUGGGAAAGAAAAGCAGCAGGUUAAUACCCCGCUGUUCUGACGGUACCCAAAGAAUAAGCACCGGCUAACUUCGUG
RNAcentral lists this ribosomal RNA (492 nucleotides) under uncultured bacterium. Its description in RNAcentral is "partial 16S ribosomal RNA". It matches the Rfam family "Bacterial small subunit ribosomal RNA", at positions 29 to 507 of the family's 1533-position model. The record is from RNAcentral.